Long non-coding RNA from Eptesicus fuscus (big brown bat), 273 nucleotides. RefSeq lists it as uncharacterized. Lineage: Eukaryota; Metazoa; Chordata; Mammalia; Chiroptera; Vespertilionidae. The transcript has 3 exons. The record is from RefSeq and is a predicted model, not a curated record.
CUCCAUUGACACUUGUUCCCUUACUACUCUUCAUGUGACCUGUGUGUCAGCUCUAUAGGACUUCCAGCAGCUUCAAGUUGGCUUCUCAACAAGAUGAUUCAGAAAAUGCUGCUGAGCUGUGGUGCACAAACAAGGACAUGAGGUCUUUUCUGCUGUGGCUAAUCCCUGGACACCUCACCACUCCUUUGGCUCCUUUAACCUCCCCGCAGGGUUAUUUCACUUCACUAAAAUUCCCUUUGUUAGGAUUACACCCUUUAUUGUGCUGUUUUCUAU